RNAcentral lists this ribosomal RNA (236 nucleotides) under uncultured bacterium. RNAcentral's name for it is "partial 16S ribosomal RNA". It matches the Rfam family "Bacterial small subunit ribosomal RNA", at positions 119 to 353 of the family's 1533-position model. The record is from RNAcentral.
GUCCAACCUGCCGAUAGACUCGGGGAUAGCCUUUCGAAAGAAAGAUUAAUACCGAUGGCAUAGUUCUUCCGCAUGGUGGAACUAUUUAAAGAAUUUCGGUUCAUCGAUGGGGAUGCGUUCCAUUAGGUUGUUGGCGGGGUAACGGCUCACCAAGGCGACGAUACAUAGGGGGACUGAGAGGUUAACCCCCACACUGGUACUGAGACACGGACCAGACUCCUACGGGAGGCAGCAUG